CUGUCCAGGAGGACGGACUGAGGGGGCUUGCAGCAUGUCUGAGGUCCACUCAAUGGAUGAUGAGCCAGGGUGAAGCAUCCAGUGGACGCGUCCAGUGCGGUAGUGGUAAAAUUAGAGAUCUAGGUUUGCUCCGGAGGGGUUGACGCGGCGUCCUGAUGGAAUCCUGAUGGCGUCCCGAUGACGUGGCGUCCUGAUGGCGUCCCGAUGACGUGGCGUCCUGAUGGCGUCCCGAAGACGUGGCGUCCUGAUGGCGUCCUGUUGGUCUGCAGACAAGGAGAAGAGACAUCUGGAUUUGCUGCUGAGGGGUUGACGCGGCGUCCUGAUGGCGUCCCGAUGACGUCCCGAUGACGUGGUGUCCUGAUGGCGUCCCGAUGACGUGGCGUCAUGAUGGCAUCCUGUCUGCAGACAAGGAGAAGAGACGUGAGGAGGAUCAUCAGGAUGUGUCUAUCUGGAUUUGCUCCUGAGGGGCUGACGCGGCGUCCUGAAGGCGUCCCGAUGACGUGGCGUCCUGUUGGUCUGCAGACAAGGAGAAGAGACGUGAGGAGGGUCACCAGGAUGUGUCUAUCUGGAUUUGCUCCUGAGGGGUUGACGUGACGUCCUGAUGGCGUCCCGUUGACGUGGCGUCCUGAUGGCACCCUGAUGGCGUCCCGUUGACGUGGCGUCCUGAUGGCGUCCCGUUGGUCUACAGACAAGGAGAAGAGACGUGAGGAGGAUCAUCAGGAUGUGAGACAAGAUUCAUAGAUCCAAUUAUUUUAAUUUGAUGCACAUUUUAAUUAUUUCAUGUUUGUAUGGAUGUGUAAAUCUACAUUAUAUAUUUGUGGUUGUUAAACUGUAUUUCUGUAUUUGCUUUUUAUGUUUAGCUAGUCACUGUGCAUACCAAUAUGUUAGUGCGUCUCUGUGUAAGUACUUUUUACAUUACAUUACAUUUCAUUUAGCUGACGCUUUUAUCCAAAGCGACUUACAAUAAGUGCAUUCAACCAUAGGGUACAAACUCAGAAGUGCAAUUUCCUCAAAUAACUUUUAUAUGUUAGUGCGUCUCUGUGUAAGUACUUUUAUAUGUUAAUGCGUCUCUGUGUACAUCUACAUGACAACAGCAGGAAUCAGAGGUUUAUCUCAAGGUAUUAGCUUUAAAUCACAGCCUUCCCCACCCGAUAGACCAAUACAUCAUUCACAGCAGUAAGGCUGCAGUCUGUCUGGAUUCCUCACUUACCUUGAGCUCUGUUAAGUGCAGCAGAACGCGUCUUCAUUCCCUCUACAGACUCCUGAGGCAUUACAUGGUUGCGUUCUGCAAGUGUAGGUCCGGAAAACUUCAGUGUGUAGAUGCGAGGUUUGAAACUGACUGACUGGAUGUGCAACAGACUGUGUUCUUAUGCUGUGGUGAACGGAGCAUAGAACAUAGAACAUGGAACAUGGAACAUGGAGAAAUGUUCCAUCAUGAUGUAACGUCUCUAUGGUUACAGUGAAGGUAUCUACAAUAUGCAAAUGAGCCUUUAGAGUAAAUGUGUGUGUGUAUUUGUAUUGAUGGAGCUCAUCCACUUGACAUGGUGCAUAAAACACUUUGCUCUACUUGUUUUUUUCUAUGACCCCAUCUUGAUCUUGAAAGCAAACACUUAAAGAAUAAAUAAAGAACGAUUUUUGUCCAUUGUUUCAUCAAGUCGGAAAUUUGUAAACUGUUGAAUCCGGAUUUUUAAACAUCCCUUUCGAGCCCUCUUGUCUCCAGUCUUCAUGCUAAGCUAACCAGCGGCUGGCUUUAGCUUCACGUUGAGCGCGCAGACAUGAGAGUAGGGAUGAGUAUCGUUUGGGUUUUCCGAUACCGAUCCUAAACAGCCUGAACCCAAACACAACUGAAGAAAAGUUUUUUUUCACUUCAAACUAUGCACAAUAUAUGAACUUUUGAAAGUUUACAGUAUGAUUACAGUGUUUCCCCUCUGUAACAGCGGAAGUGUAGUUAAUUGGAAUUUGGGGAAUAUUAAUCAUUUAAUCUGAGAUUCAUGUUCAUUGUGCAGAACUAAAGACAUUUAUUGAAAAGCAUUUACGUUAGAUUGACG
Long non-coding RNA from Gasterosteus aculeatus aculeatus (three-spined stickleback), 2048 nucleotides. NCBI's taxonomy places the organism in Eukaryota, Metazoa, Chordata, Actinopteri, Perciformes, Gasterosteidae. The record is from Ensembl.